GUCCUCCGCAUAGGGACCUCCAUCGCGAUCGGAUCUGGGGCGUCCACUAUGUUUUGGUUUGACCGGUGGACUGCGGACACCCCCUUCGCUACCAGGUUCCCAUAUCUGUUCUCCAUUGUGGUCGAGCCUAGGAUCUCCGUCGAGACGGCCCUUAUUGACUUAGGGUGUCUCGCAUUCCGGCGGCCAUUUGGGCCACCGGAAGUAGCCGUGUGGCAUGAGCUUCUAGACGGCGUGGCUCUCCAUGAGCCUGACCUGGUGCAACCCCCCGACCACCUAUCCUGGCAUCUCGAACCCUCUGGCCGGUUCUCCACGAAGUCCCUAUACCAGGCCAUUGCCCCUCCCCUAGCCCUGCGGCUUGCGUCGAUCUGGGCCAUCCGUGUGCCCCUCAAGAUUAUAAUCUUCAUGUGGCAAUGGAUCCACGACCGGCUUCCCUCUGGCGUGGAGGUGUUGAAACGCCAAGGCCCAUGUGAUGGUAUCUGCCCCUUAUGUGGGACGGAAGAAACCUCGAAUCACAUCUUCUUCUCGUGCGUCUCCGCCCAGUUCCUCUGGGGAUGCCUCCAUGAGACGGUCGGUGGUAGAUGGUGUAACACCAACUUCCCAGACCUCCUCACCGAGGUUCAGGCCUCCCACAUGAAGGGCCGCCACAUUAGGUGGCUGCUCAUUGGGGUUCUUGCGUGGACUCUUUGGACCGUGCGUAAUAAGCUUGUCAUUCAGCGGGUUCCUCUUCGAUGUGCCACUGACGUUGUGUUCAAAAUGUGUGGAUAUUUGCAACUCUGGGGGCCGCUUAGCCGUCACCAGGACCGGGACACCAUCAACAUCAUCAUUGCCGACCUUCGUGCAAUGGCUCUCUGCUUGGCGCUGAUACGUCUCCAACGUAUCUAUAAUUUUUGA
Molecule: ribosomal RNA, 891 nt
Filed under: Triticum aestivum (bread wheat)
Lineage: Eukaryota; Viridiplantae; Streptophyta; Magnoliopsida; Poales; Poaceae
Description: partial small subunit ribosomal RNA
Source: RNAcentral